This 472-nucleotide ribosomal RNA is filed under the name uncultured bacterium. RNAcentral describes it as "bacterial SSU rRNA". It matches the Rfam family "Bacterial small subunit ribosomal RNA", at positions 24 to 518 of the family's 1533-position model. The record is from RNAcentral.
UCAGGACGAACGCUGACGGCGUGCUUCAUACAUGCAAGUCGAACGAGAAUUACCUUCGGGUAAUGGAAAGUGGCGGACGGGUGAGUAAUAUGUAGAGAAUCUGCCUUCAAGCGGGGGAUAGCAGUUGGAAACGACUAUUAAUACCCCAUAUGAGCGUAACUGAAAUGUUAUUCUUGAAAACUCCGGUGCUUGGAGAUGAGUCUGCAUCUGAUUAGCUAGUUGGGGGUGUAAUGGACCACCAAGGCGACGAUCAGUAGCUGGUUUGAGAGGAUGAUCAGCCACAAUGGGACUGAGACACGGCCCAUACUCCUACGGGAGGCAGCAGUAGGGAAUUUUGCGCAAUGGGCGAAAGCCUGACGCCAGCAACGCCGCGUGAUCGAGACGCUUUUCGGAGUGUAAAGAUCUGUCACAGGGGACGAACGACGACGGUACCCUGAGAGGAAGCACCGGCUAACUCCGUGCCAGCCGCUGC